AUGAUGUUACCACUGCAGCCUCAGUUUUCACUAUUGCUACCUCAUCUUCCAGCCAUAUUAAACUUUCUUCAAAAAUGCCGUUAUUUUCUCUUUCAUUUCCAAGCCUUGCCUUUUCUCAGCCUAGACAUUUUACCCACUUUCUCAUCUCUCAGGUCUGGAGCAUAUUGUCCCAGGUCCCAUAGGCUGAAAGCAACCAUGUCAGGUUCGUGGUAUCCAGGAAGCUACGGUGUCUGCUGCUCUCUUCUUGGAAAAAUGACUGAAUGACAUAAAAGAAGGCAAAAGGGGAUUCCUAGGCAGUGUCCAUUUCCAUAGACCAUCUCAAGAAGAGGUCUACCAGCUACUCCGGGAGGUCAGUGCUUUUCAUAGUGUUGUCCUCAGCUCCACUUGCAUUAGAUUCACCUGGGAAUGCUGCAGGAAACUUCCUCGCAUUCUUUUUUGACCUGCCAAAUCAACAUCUCUUGGGUUAUAGGAAACUUUAAGAAAAAAAAAAUCCUGUAUCUUUUUUGCCAGGCUGUUUCGAGAAGCAGAUCCAUAUUAGUAAAAAUGAAAAGAACUGACCUUCCACCCUCCUGGUCAACGGGUGGCCCUGUGUUUUCAGAGCUCUCGUAGUUUUUCAGCCUUUAAGAGAUAAAGGCCACAAGUGAUGCCUACCGCUUCCUCAAAUCCCACCUCACCUCUCAGCCCUAGUCCUUCCCCCAUCAGCAUCCCAGCACCAAGAGUUUGUAGGAGCAGUAAGGCAACAAGGACUGUGAGAUACUGUCUCUGGAAGAGACAAAUAAGUGGCCAGGGGCCACAAAGAGCAACUGCAUCUGUUGGCUUGGCAAAUCCCCCAGACGGCCAUCUCACAUCUUAGCAAAGGCACACCUUCCUUCCUCAUCCGGACAGUUGCUAGGCCUGGGGAGCUCACGGGCCAUCAGAGCGGCAUUUUCUCUAGCAGAUCUCUUAACUCUCGAGGAAGAAGUGUUAACACUAAAAACCAAACAAACCAAAACAUAUUGGAGGGCAUCUCGUUUUUCACGCCUGUGGAGGAAAUUUCUGGCUUCCUUGGGAAAAGCGUGAACUUGCCAGGGGGCCUGGCCUCCCUGCAGACUAGGCAGCAAAAAUCUCUGUUAUUUGCCUCUUGGUUUUGGAAGGAAGACUGAAAUAGGUAAAGGAACCCUGGGAUGUAGGGAGGGCCCCAAAUCCUUGGGCCAAACUCCUUAGUUCUACUUUUCUUUCCUUAAGGAGCUGAAGGAAAGAAAGUGAUGUACUUGCAUCUGAACCC
This 1264-nucleotide long non-coding RNA is filed under the name Sus scrofa (pig). RNAcentral describes it as "lncRNA (ENSSSCG00070016062.1)". The record is from RNAcentral. Lineage: Eukaryota; Metazoa; Chordata; Mammalia; Artiodactyla; Suidae.